Molecule: ribosomal RNA, 253 nt
Filed under: uncultured bacterium
Lineage: Bacteria
Description: partial 16S ribosomal RNA
Rfam family: Bacterial small subunit ribosomal RNA
Source: RNAcentral
UACGGGGGGGGCAAGCGUUGUUCGGAAUUACUGGGCGUAAAGGGUUUGUAGGGGGCUUGUUAAGUCAGACGUGAAAUCCCUCAGCUUAACUGGGGAACUGCGUCUGAUACUGGCGAGCUUGAGUGCAGGAGAGGAACGCGGAAUUCCAGGUGUAGCGGUGAAAUGCGUAGAUAUCUGGAGGAACACCGGUGGCGAAGGCGGCGUUCUGGACUGCAACUGACGCUGAGGCGCGAAAGCUAGGGGAGCAAACAGG